AGCGCGUCCCGGCCUGAGCGGAGCUCUUUUUGUCUUGUCUCCUGAGACGAGACAAAAAAGCGGGAGCGGAGGACGGAUAAAGAC
Molecule: small RNA, 84 nt
Filed under: Epilithonimonas arachidiradicis
Lineage: Bacteria; Pseudomonadati; Bacteroidota; Flavobacteriia; Flavobacteriales; Weeksellaceae
Description: Chryseobacterium arachidiradicis Flavo-1 RNA
Source: RNAcentral